RNAcentral lists this long non-coding RNA (218 nucleotides) under Malus domestica (apple). RNAcentral's name for it is "long non-coding RNA (MDOM_LNC018515)". The record is from RNAcentral. Lineage: Eukaryota; Viridiplantae; Streptophyta; Magnoliopsida; Rosales; Rosaceae.
UACAUCAUUACCAAUAUAAUAAUUAUCAUGUGCUAUAGUAGAUCUAUGUGCCAAUGUUCUUUUUCCUUUUUUUGUUUUAUUACAAAUUGUGACAACCCAUCCCUAAAUUUUACAAUUUUAUAAAUUUCAAUCGAGUGAUUUGAUGAAAUUGCCCUUGAGGCGAGGAUUGUUGACUUUUGUUGAUCGUCAUUCAAAGAGACGUACAACCUGUCUUGUCA